This is a long non-coding RNA of Grammomys surdaster, 447 nucleotides long. RefSeq lists it as uncharacterized. NCBI's taxonomy places the organism in Eukaryota, Metazoa, Chordata, Mammalia, Rodentia, Muridae. The record is from RefSeq and is a predicted model, not a curated record. The transcript has 3 exons.
GGCGGAGGGCAGCAAGUUAGCCCGCGGCGGGGUGGCGGCGGCCGGCCUGUGAGCGCGACCUAUUUACGAGGCCAGUUACCACUCAUGAAGAAGUGUUGGACUAGUUGGACUUAUUGGCCUGAGACAGUCUAUUUGUUCUACGUAUUUUUUAUUUAUCCCACCGCUUUGAGCUUUACUGUAACGGCUGAGAAACUUGGAAAAUAAAAUAACAUGAUGUGGUCUUGAACCUUCUUUUUGAGGAAAUAAUAAAGUGCCAGAGUGAAAAGCCAGAAUGGCAGCCAGAGAGAGGCUGUUUGAACUUUGGAUGCUUUAUUGUACAAAGGUGCUGGAGAGAUAGCUCAGUGGUUGAGAGCACUGACUGUUCUUCCAAAGAACCGAGGAUCAAAUCCUACCGUCCAUGUGGCAGCUCACAACUGUCUGUAACUCCAAGAUCUGACACCUUCACAC